GGCGAUAUGGCCGAGCGGUCUAAGGCGCCAGAAUCAGGAAGUGUCCUAUCUGGUCCUCACGGGCGUGGGUUCGAAUCCCACUGUCGUCA
RNAcentral lists this transfer RNA (89 nucleotides) under Polyporus arcularius HHB13444. It matches the Rfam family "tRNA". Rfam says of the family: Transfer RNA (tRNA) molecules are approximately 80 nucleotides in length. The record is from Rfam by way of RNAcentral. Lineage: Eukaryota; Fungi; Basidiomycota; Agaricomycetes; Polyporales; Polyporaceae.